This 111-nucleotide ribosomal RNA is filed under the name Caerostris darwini. The record is from RNAcentral. Lineage: Eukaryota; Metazoa; Arthropoda; Arachnida; Araneae; Araneidae.
AACGGCCAUACCAUGCUGAAUAUACCGGUUCACGUUAGAUCACCGAAGUCAAGCAUCAUUGGGCGCGGUCAGUACUUGGGUGGGUGACCACCUGGGGGACACCGCGUGCCG